AAGAACUCCUACACGGUUAACAACCUCUCUCAUUAAUAUAAAAUUUUCACGUCCCUUUUCCAUGAGGAAAUUAACAUUACCACCGUCUUGGUCUCGCAAGUCGCAAGGCACAUGUUUGUCACUCUAAUUGGACUUGUCUUGCUCCACCAUAUUUCUUGCAUUGAGAUACUUCCCUCACCUUUUCUUCCUUCAUCAUCUACCUCGUGACCUUCAUUUGUUAUUUGCUUCACCUCCUUUCUAUCCUCCACGCCUUGUGUGACUUUCACUUAAUGAAGGUGUAAGUUAGACCCGUGUUGUAACCAAAUCACUUGCCGGAGGACGCUAAACAUUAUUUGUUGUUAUAUUGUAUGAAAUGAAUCAAUAUUUUCAUACAAUAUAACAACAUAUGUGCACAAACUACUGUUUCGUCUCUCAUGACAAGGGAUUCGAUUCGGUCCAAAGAUAUCAGGCUAAAAAAAAUUACUUUUAGUUUUUAUAAAAUAAAAAAGUCACAUUUAUCAGGAAAAAAAGAUUUUAUAUGUCGACAAAAAAAUCUAAUAUGUAAUUUUUCAUUUAAAAUAAAAUAUUUCUUUUAAAAUUUAUUUUAGGCCUCACUUCUGGAAGACAGAUGCUAUUUUGGUUAUCAACAAAGUCCAGCUUACACCUUUAUCAAUAUGAGCAUGCUUAUCAACACCUAUCUAGUGUUCUGGUUGGUACUCAUACUUAAAUGGCUCCAGCUUGUUUUGAAGUGCAUAAGGGUGUAGGUUGUACUGAAUUUUAUUGUGAUGUACUUCUAAAUUAAAUGGAGGGUGGAUAUACCCUAAGGAGCUUUUAAAUAUAAUUUAUUGUUUCUUUCUAUGUAAUUUUGUUUUGAAUUAUGGCUUCUGCAAAUUCUUGGAGUUCAAGGUAGUUUCCUGCAACGAUAUGCUUCUUUGCACUCGAUGCUUUUAUCCAACUUGCUUUAAAGAAGGAGGUGUUUGUUUUCUUUUCUAUUUUACCAACUUAAUUGUUGAAUACUAUAAAGACAUGAAUAGAAGCUCACUCAUGUUCUCUAUAGGGACAUUAGCAACAUAACUAUAUUGCAAGGCAUGAUUCGGCUGAUUCUGUAAGCUCAGUCUGACAAAGAUGCAACAAUCAAUCACAUUAUAGAAGCAUUUAAUCUAUCUAGCCAAAAAUUCAAAAAUAGUGUCAAAAUAACAGCAAACAGAACCAGUAUAGAAGAAACUAACUGAUAAAGAGAACUAUUAAGGUAGCAAGCCAUCGUUGAAAAAGUGGGAGCAUAAUCUUCUGAAACUCAGCCAUGCUAGUCCUUUCCAAAAUCUCUUCCAACUCACUUUGGCUAUUUGUUACUGGUCAGUAAUUUAAUACUCCCUUUAUUACAGAGCUAGCCAAUUUUUUUAUCCUUAUCGGUGAACUGUACAACACAAUAUGUUAACUGUUGAUGAUAAAUACCAACAGAUUUAGGUUUGUGCAAAGGAAUUAAAGCCAUACUCUUCCAGUCUUCCUUCAAUGGCAAGGCAAACCCACUAAGAAUUACAAAGUGUAACUAAGACCAAAGUAUGGAAUGAAUUUUUGAGCUUAAUGUUAUGAUAGCUAGUUUACUUUAAGGAAUAAUCCUCCAUUUUAGUCCAAGAUUGUAAACAUUAGUCACUUUAGUCCUUACUAACUUCAUAAAAUCAUCACUUUAGUCCUUGACACUUGAUAGUUGCAAUAAGUCUUUAAUUUUAACAUUUUUUAUCUUAAUUGUCCAUUGUCAUUUUGCACCAAAAAAGAAUAAAGUGAAUUAUGCUUUGCAAAGUUAAGGAUUAAAGUGAUGGAUACUUGAACUUAGGAGGAUAUCAAUCCUUUUGUCAUAAGGCUAUAUAGAAGGUGCCCUUUUCCAGUAUCAAUGAGCAAAAGUGUAGUUCAAUUAAUAAUUGAAUUCUUUCUUUUUCUCCUUUUUUUUUUGAAUGGUGAUCAUAUUUCAGGCUGGCAAUAUUUUAGUCUCCUACUGUACAAUGCAUUGUGGUUGUGGAGAAAGCUUUAACUCAAGCAACAGAGCUUCGAAGGAUCUCCAUUUGGUUGGUGCAAGCAUGCCUGUUAUAGGAGUCCAUGCUUGGGGUAAGGUUGCUCAUUUUGUUACACCUUUUAACUAUGACAACUUGGAAGAAAAUCAUGCUGCUUUGAAUGGUUUCUUCCUUCUGGUUUUAAAGCUUAAAAGGCUUAUUACUUCAAUAUCCUUGCGUAGGGAGUUCUUUUGCUACUAGAAGUUGAAGGUUUAGAUUUCUUAUAUGGAAAAGUCCAAAACAUGGUGGCUUUGUUGCUUCAAAUUGUUCCCAACACGUACAAGUUGACAUGAAACGUGGAGUACUUGUCUUGUUAUUAUUGAUACACAAGUGACAGUUUCCAAGAAAUAAGCUUUAAUUUGGUAACCAUUUUUGGGUUGACAAAUGACAAGACAUGAUGUAUCAUGACAUAUUUUGUAAGUAUGAGACAUGAGCAAAUUGUUAUACUUUGUAUUAUGUACAUUAUUCAAUUGUUUAAAAGGUUGAAAAUGAAUCUAAAUUGGUAUUGAGUAAA
Glycine soja is the source of this 2538-nucleotide RNA transcript. RefSeq lists it as uncharacterized. NCBI's taxonomy places the organism in Eukaryota, Viridiplantae, Streptophyta, Magnoliopsida, Fabales, Fabaceae. The transcript is spliced from 4 exons. The record is from RefSeq and is a predicted model, not a curated record.